This 118-nucleotide ribosomal RNA is filed under the name Mesocricetus auratus (golden hamster). The record is from RNAcentral. Lineage: Eukaryota; Metazoa; Chordata; Mammalia; Rodentia; Cricetidae.
GUCUAUGACCAUGCCACCCUGAAUGUACCUGAUAUUGUCUUACUUAGCUCAGUAGCUAAGCAGAGUCAGGCAUAACUAGUACUUAGUAUUUGAAAAGGAGAAUUUUCACUUAAUCACC